GAGUAUAAAUAUCUGCCAACAAAGUCAGGAACCAUUAAUGUCCGGGACUGCAGAGGGAAGAAGUAGCUGGAAGAAGUCCUGGCGUUUGGACCAGAUGAAGAAGAAAUAAAAAGGACCCCACAUCCAUACCCCGGAUGCUCCACUGAAUAGAGACACUGCCGAAGAUAUGUGCCUCAGCUCCCAGAUAGCGGAGGCUCAGGAUCGGCCUGCAGAACCCAAAAAGAAUUCACAGUUAUGCUGUUUCUGAAAGAAAGCAGUCAAGUUAUUUUCAAUUACUUUAAGGAGUGUAAGGCCGGAAGAUCAAAGCUAC
Molecule: long non-coding RNA, 310 nt
Organism: Hyla sarda
Lineage: Eukaryota; Metazoa; Chordata; Amphibia; Anura; Hylidae
Exons: 3
Source: RefSeq, a predicted model, not a curated record